RNAcentral lists this ribosomal RNA (305 nucleotides) under uncultured bacterium. RNAcentral describes it as "bacterial SSU rRNA". It matches the Rfam family "Bacterial small subunit ribosomal RNA", at positions 337 to 640 of the family's 1533-position model. The record is from RNAcentral.
AGCUACGGGGGGCAGCAGUGAGGAAUAUUGGUCAAUGGUCGGGAGACUGAACCAGCCAAGCCGCGUGAGGGAGGAAGGUACAGAGUAUCGUAAACCUCUUUUGUCGGGGAGCAAAAGACGCCACGCGUGGCGUUCCGAGAGUACCCGAAGAAAAAGCAUCGGCUAACUCCGUGCCAGCAGCCGCGGUAAUACGGAGGAUGCGAGCGUUAUCCGGAUUUAUUGGGUUUAAAGGGUGCGCAGGCGGAAGAUCAAGUCAGCGGUAAAAUUGAGAGGCUCAACCUCUUCGAGCCGUUGAAACUGGUUUU